This 460-nucleotide ribosomal RNA is filed under the name uncultured bacterium. Its description in RNAcentral is "partial 16S ribosomal RNA". It matches the Rfam family "Bacterial small subunit ribosomal RNA", at positions 338 to 795 of the family's 1533-position model. The record is from RNAcentral.
CCUACGGGAGGCAGCAGUGAGGAAUAUUGGUCAAUGGACGCAAGUCUGAACCAGCCAUGCCGCGUGCAGGAAGACGGCCCUAUGAGUUGUAAACUGCUUUUGUACGAGGGUAAACGCAGAUACGCAUAUCUGUCUGAAAGUAUCGUACGAAUAAGGAUCGGCUAACUCCGUGCCAGCAGCCGCGGUAAUACGGAGGAUUCAAGCGUUAUCCGGAUUUAUUGGGUUUAAAGGGUGCGUAGGCGGUCGGUUAAGUCAGAGGUGAAAGCCCGAGGCUCAACCGCGGAAUUGCAUUUGAUACUGGCCGGCUAGAGUGUAGUUGAGGUAGGCGGAAUGUAUGGUGUAGCGGUGAAAUGCUUAGAUAUCAUGAAGAACUCCGAUCGCGAAGGCAAGUGUCCGGGGUGCAACUGACGCUGAGGCUCGAAAGUGUGGGUAUCAAACAGGAUUAGAUACCCCAGUAGUC